AACGCACAUUGCACCUCUUGGUAUUCCUUGAGGUAUGCCUGUUCGAGCGCCGUUUGACACUCCUAAAGCUUUGCUUUGUGUUGGGCUUUGUUUUGCGCAAAACAAGCCUCAAAUGCAUUUGCCCAAGUUGUUUGCGGAGAAGCAGCGAAAGUGCUCUUGCGCAGAAAAAACGCGGGCAGGUCAAACGAUCGCAUGGCCUCGGAUCAGGUAGGGCUACCCGCUGAACUUAA
Molecule: unclassified non-coding RNA, 230 nt
Filed under: uncultured fungus
Lineage: Eukaryota; Fungi
Description: partial contains 5.8S ribosomal RNA, internal transcribed spacer 2, and large subunit ribosomal RNA
Source: RNAcentral